CAUCAAGUCCAACCACCAACCCAGUACUACCACUGUAACCCCUAAAUCCCUAAACCAUAUCACCCAGCAGUGAAUUUCUUCCU
Corapipo altera (White-ruffed manakin) is the source of this 83-nucleotide long non-coding RNA. RefSeq lists it as uncharacterized. The transcript is spliced from 3 exons. NCBI's taxonomy places the organism in Eukaryota, Metazoa, Chordata, Aves, Passeriformes, Pipridae. The record is from RefSeq and is a predicted model, not a curated record.